Non-coding RNA from Pelobates cultripes (western spadefoot toad), 289 nucleotides. NCBI's taxonomy places the organism in Eukaryota, Metazoa, Chordata, Amphibia, Anura, Pelobatidae. The record is from the annotation of a GenBank genome assembly.
CAACAUCCCAUGAUCCCAGUCUUCUAUUACCUCCCCAAGAUCCACAAAAAUAAAGAUAAACCACCUGGCAGACCUAUAGUGUCAGGGAUAGGUUCCAUUUCAAGCAGGUUGUCACAAUAUAUCGACAAAUGUUUACAAUUGAUAGUCAAUACCUGCCCUAGCUAUCUUAAGGACACCAUUAACAUCCUACAGAUUAUCCAACAGGUCACCUGGAGUACAGAUUAUUAUCUUGUGACAUCAGAUGUGAGUUCCCUGUACACGAUCAUCUCCCACACCCAGGGAUGUAGAG